AUACGUAGGGGGCGAGCGUUAUCCGGAAUUAUUGGGCGUAAAGGGCGCGUAGGCGGCCCGGUAAGUCUGGAGUGAAAGUCCUGUUUUUAAGAUGGGUAUUGCUUUGGAUACUGUCGGCUUUAUGUGGAGGAGGGGUAAGGGGAAUUCCCAUUGUAGGGGUGAAAUGCAUAGAGAUUGGGAGGAAACCCAGUGGCGAAGGCGGCUUACUGGACUGUAACUGACGCUGAGGCACGAAAGUGUGGGGAGCAAACAGGAUUAGAUACCCUGGUAGUCCACACUGUAAACGAUGAAUGCUAGGUGUAGGGGGUAUCGACCCCUUCUGUGCCGCAGUCAACACAAUAAGCAUUCCGCCUGGGGAGUACGGCCGCAAGGUUGAAACUCAAAUGAAUUGACGGGG
This 397-nucleotide ribosomal RNA is filed under the name uncultured bacterium. Its description in RNAcentral is "partial 16S ribosomal RNA". It matches the Rfam family "Bacterial small subunit ribosomal RNA", at positions 523 to 918 of the family's 1533-position model. The record is from RNAcentral.